CCUACGGGAGGCAGCAGUGAGGAAUAUUGGUCAAUGGACGAGAGUCUGAACCAGCCAAGUAGCGUGAAGGAUGACUGCCCUAUGGGUUGUAAACUUCUUUUAUAUGGGAAUAAAAUGUUCCACGUUUGGGAUUUUGUAUGUACCAUAUGAAUAAGGAUCGGCUAAAUCCGUGCCAGCAGCCGCGGUAAUACGGAGGAUCCGAGCGUUAUCCGGAUUUAUUGGGUUUAAAGGGAGCGUAGGUGGAUUGUUAAGUCAGUUGUGAAAGUUUGCGGCUCAACCGUAAAAUUGCAGUUGAAACUGGCAGUCGUGAGUACAGUAGAGGUGGGCGGAAUUCGUGGUGUAGCGGUGAAAUGCUUAGAUAUCACGAAGAACUCCGAUUGCGAAGGCAGCUCACUGGACUGCAACUGACACUGAGGCUCGAAAGUGUGGGUAUCAAACAGGAUUAGAUACCCUUGUAGUC
RNAcentral lists this ribosomal RNA (460 nucleotides) under uncultured bacterium. RNAcentral's name for it is "partial 16S ribosomal RNA". It matches the Rfam family "Bacterial small subunit ribosomal RNA", at positions 338 to 795 of the family's 1533-position model. The record is from RNAcentral.